CCUCGGGCUGGAGAGGGGCAGGAGAAAGGCCAAGGGAGCUCCCUGGGGCCACCAGGGCCUGUGGGGAACAGAAUGGACGCUUGGAUGACCAGUGGAGGAAAGGGAAGGACAUCCCUGCCUUCAGCGCAUCUCCAGUGGGACCCACCUGCAAAAGCUUUCCAUCCCUUCUGCACUUCCAGCUGGCUCCCUGAAAAACUCCCACCUUCAUCCAAACAGAACUUCAUCCCACCCAAACCUUUGAUUUUAAGGCAUCUCUGCGGGCUGUUGGUUGGGAUUUAAUGUCUGUGAGAGAAGAGUGCCUUGGCUUUAAGGCUGCUGCUGGAUGAUGGCCUUAGGCUGGAAGGGAAGGGAUUCGGGGAGGCCGGGACAUACCUGGCAGCUGCGUGGGAGCUCUGGGAGGUCGGAACCGGGAAUUGCUGUUUGAGCUCCUCUGCAGGUGGCCCGUGCUGCCAUCACCACGAAAUGCCAGCUGUUCUUGGGGGGCUUUUGGGCUGUCAGUGGCCUCUGUCCGGGCUGAAGCAUCUCUGGGUGCCUGUUCAGAGCAGCCCCUGGCCCAGGAGCUGCGGGCAGCCCUUGAGCCGUGUCCGUGCCCAUCCCCGGGAUGUGUGCUCGGCACAGGCGGGACACUGCAGGCACAGCCCCUCCCCUGCAGAGCCCAAGGACAAGAGGUGCUGGUUGCCUUUUGGGGGCUCCUGGCCUCCCCCUGCCCCACGUUCCCAGCCAGCUGAGACACACAGAAACACCAAGGAACGCUGCUGGCAGCGAGCGGGAGACACUGAGGCCUCUGUGCAGCUCUGGGCCACAAAAGCAGCCCCAGCUUCAGCAGCUGCCAUCAUUUUGGCCUGGCAAUACUCACCUGCAGGAAAUGUCCUAUUUACCUGAGAGUCAGGUUUUAGGAUCCCUCUCAACCCCAAUAUAUCCUCAAUAUAUCCUGUGAUCUGGAAGUAAAGAGAAAAAUUCUCAGCUGAAUUUUU
Sturnus vulgaris (Common starling) is the source of this 974-nucleotide non-coding RNA. The record is from RefSeq and is a predicted model, not a curated record. Lineage: Eukaryota; Metazoa; Chordata; Aves; Passeriformes; Sturnidae.